UCUAGUUGCUCUAUUGAAAACUAAGCUUACUGAUCAUCUAGGUAUUGUGCAUGAGUUUGGUUUCAAUGAAUAUUGGGAGGUGCCAGCCCAGGGUAUGUCCGGGGGCAUUGUCAUCUUUUGGCUUUCCAGAUAUGUUAGUGUUACUCAUCAUAGUCAGUCCCUAUAGGAACUCCAUGCCAUGAUCAAGGUACUUCCUCAAAACUCUCAUUGGUUAUUUUCUUCUAUAUAUGCUAGUACAAACUUUAAUAGGCGUAAAAUUCUUUGGAAUAAUCUCAAAAAUAUGUGUCACUCCCUUGAUGUCCGUGGUUAAUUGCGAGGGAUUUUAAUAAAAUUCUGCCCCAAAAUGAUAAAUGGGAUGGAAGAUCUAUUAAUCAUCGUAGAAGUUUUAAAUUUUGGUCUUGGAUUAAUAACUGUCAACUAAUAGAUCUUCGCUACUGAGGGAGUAAAUACAUGUGGUCUAAUCUCAGAAAGCAUAAUAAGGGUAAGGGUUUAAUUUUGGAAUGAAUUGAUAGUGUCUUUGCUACAAAUGUCUGGCUUGCAAUGUGGCCCAACGCCAAUAUUACUCAUCUCCCAAAAUAAAUCCAUACCACAACCUUCUCCUCAUUUUCCUAACUAAUCGUUAUUUUCGCGGAACUAAUAAACCUUUUAGACUAAAAAAAUUUUGAUUGGAUCAUUCAAACUUAAGUGAUAUAGUUUCUAAUAGUUGGGAGAAUAAAGAUUAUCUGGAUGCCCUUCCAGGCUUUAGUCAAAAUACCCUCAGCUGAAGGAAAAAAACUUUUGAUUGAAAAAAAGAGACACAUUUUAGCGUGCUUGAAGAAAUCCAAAAAUUUCAUACUUAUCUGACUAGUACUUUUCUUCAAACUCUUGAGGCUAGCCUUACAUUAGAAUAUAAUGAGGUCCUUAAGGUAGAAGAGGACUUUUGAAAAAUGCAAUCUCGUAUUAACUGACUUAGUAAAGGGGAUGCCAACACUAAGUUUUUCACCUUUCCGUUUUCAAUAGGCGUAGAAGAAACAAAAUUUCUUUUUUCAAGGAUGAACUUGACAAUUGGAUUAUGGACCCUAAUAGGAUUGCUAGUCACACCCUGAAUUAUUUUAGAGAUUAUUUUACUAGAAAUCACAAAAGCUCUAACGGGAAGCAUAUUAGGAAUUCUCCGACUAAGUUUCAUGCUCAUGACCUUUCAAUACUAGAUAGACCCCUUCAUAAUAUAGAAAUUACUCAUUAUUAUAGAAAUUACUCAAGAUAUUUUUUCUUUUAAACCCUUCAAAUCCCCAAGACCGGAUGGGCUACACCCCCACAUUUCCAAUCUCAAUGGAAAGUUGUUGGUCCCUUCGUUAUUACUUUAUGCCACACAAUUUUUAUUACUCAAAAAACUUUCUGAAUCAAUGAAUAAUACUUAUUUAUAUCUUAUUCCUAAAUUUGCUAAUGCUAACCAAUAAAACCUUUUUAGACCUAUCAGCUUGUGCAAUACGAUUUAUAUCACAAAAAUCAUCGCCUAAUCGCAUUAAGCCUCACUUAGCUCACCUCAUCGAACCCUAUCAGACUACUUUUCUUAAAGGUCAUUGAACAUGCGAUGAUGCCAUUCUUGUUCAAGAAUUUAUAAAUCAUCUCGGGAAGACUAAAAAGUAAAAAGGCUGCUUUAAUCCUUAAAUUGGAUUUAGAAAAAGCUUUCGAUCUCGUAGAAUUGUCCUUUGUCUAGCGGACACUUCUGUUUUUUAAAUUUCCCCCCAACAUAACUACUUUGAUUAUGCAUUGUAUUUCUACUAGUAAUAUAGCAAUUCUUGUUAAUGGUACUCCAGCAAACUAUUUCUCACCUUCGCGAGGCAUUAGGCAACGGGAUCCUAUGUCACCUUAUAUAUUUAUUCUUUGCAUGAAACUCUUAUCUAUCUAUAUUAAUCAUCAAGUAGAUAUUCUAAAAUGGCUCCCCAUUACUCUAAAUGCUAGUGGUCCACCGCUCUCUCAUCUUAUUUUUGUGGAUGAUAUUGCUCUCAUAUCUAAGGCCACAGUUGAUUCUGUAACUACUAUGUAUGAGUGUAUGCAUUACUUUUGUAUAAUUUCUGGACAAAAAAUUAAUACUACUAAGUCAAAAAGCUUUCUUUUUCUCCAAAUUGCUCUGCUAGUAUCAUUGCUUUAGUUAAAAACACUUUUAACAUCCUUCCUUCUGAAAAUUUUGGUAAGUAUUUAGGUUUUACAAUCUUAAACCACAAACCUAAAUGUGCCAACUUUCAGUUUAUUCUUGACAAUAUGAGGAAAAAACUUUCUCCCUGGAAAACAACCUUUCUUUCUCCCGUGGGUAGACUUGUGUUAGCAAAAUCCACCCUCAAUGCCAUCCCCGCUUCCACUAUGCAAUACUUCAAGCUUCUAAAGAAAAUCUAUAACUCUAUUGACCAAAUCCAACGGGACUUCCUUUGGGGAUCUAUGACCCAAAAGUAUAAACUCCACUACUUAGCAUGGGAUAAGGUCAUCUCCCACAGAAAAUGGAGGUCUUGCCUCUUAACAUUGCAAAAGAAAAAACCAGUCUCUUCUAACAAGCCUCUCUUGGAGGAUUGUCACUAACCCUUCAGCCUUGUAGGUUUUCAUUUUAACUUCCAAAUACAAUCGCCAACAAACUCACUCUUCUACCUCUUUUAUAUGGAAAAAUAUCCUUUUAGGUGGAGCUAUUUGUAACCAAGCAAUUGCGUGGGCCUUUGCAACGGGACAUACUAUUAAUCUUUGGUCCUAUCGUUGGGUGCCGAACACCCCUCCACUUCGCCAGCUUCUCCAUGGGCCUCUUAAUUAAGGGGAACAUAUGCUAUCCCUUGCGGAUAUGUGGAAUGAAACCACUUGGGAUUGGAAUAAAAUCUCCUUUGACAUCACUCAAGAUAUAAUCAUCAAGGUAACCUCUGUUCGUCCUAAGAUUAAACUAGGUAGCCAGGAUAAACCCUAUUGGGUUUAUAAUAAAAAGUGACUUUUUCCCACCCAAUCCUUCUAUAAAACCCUUCCAAGAUCCAAUCAUACUCAGUUUCCUUUCUACUGGAUGUGGAAUAUUCAUACACUUGAAAAAAUUAAGAUAUUUCUAUGGCUUUGCUCGUACGGUAAAAUCCUGAUACAUAGUUACUUAUAUUACAUUAGUGGUCCCAGUCUGUCACAUAGCUCCAGAGAAAGUUUCACACCUGUUUCUCCAAUAUUAUAUCGUAAAAAAAUUUUGGUACCCACCCUUCCACAAUGAUCUCCCAGAUUGGCUUGUAUUUUUAUCCUUUGCUCUUUGGAACAUUUGGAUUAACCGCAACAAUAAUGUAUACAAGGGGAAAAGUAAGUUUCUUAACAUCUCUACCGUUCUCAGUAAAACCAAGGAAUUUUUUAACCAUACUCUUGCGCCUGGGAAUAAUCUUAGUAGUAUUAACAACAAUAUAAAAGGGUUUUCUCCGACACCUGCAACCUUUAAACUUAAUAUUGAUGGUUGUUUUUCUUCCACCUCAGCCUAUUGUGGUAUAGGGGGAGUUGUUCGUGACUUUAAGGGCAGUUGGGUCAUGGGAUUUUACAAUGAGAGUCAUGCCCACUGCCACGUUAUGGCUGAAUUGGAAGCUCUUCACAGAGAGUUGUUAAUGACCAGUAAUCACAAGCUCUAUCCUAUAGAAAUAAAAAUGGACUCUGUCGAAAUCAUACAUCUUUUGCAACAACCCACGCAUCCUUAUACUGAUCUUGUUACUUCUUGCAGGCAUAUAUUGAGGAACUUAGGGAGUUCAGCAGUGCAACAUAACUUUAGACAAGCCAAUGGAGUAGUUGAUCGACUAUCUCGCCUAGGUUCUCAACUAACAAUGACCAACUCUCAUGAUGUUUUGUCCUCUCCGCCUGAUGAAGUCAAAGCACAAAUUAAACUGGAUCGAGAUGGAGCUAUAUAUAGUUAUCUAGUUUCAUGGUCAACAUGUAAUAAGUUAGUUUGUUUAGGGAACCAAUCCAUAAUAUAUACUAUGCAUAGUUCUAACUUUAUUUUGUCCAACUCAACUAUGAGUUUGGAUUCUAGUAGUAACAUUUCAAUGCAGAACACUACCAGCAAUAGUUCAUAUACUGCUCCAUGUACUUACUAG
This 4064-nucleotide long non-coding RNA is filed under the name Capsicum annuum. RNAcentral's name for it is "long non-coding RNA (CANN_LNC020476)". Lineage: Eukaryota; Viridiplantae; Streptophyta; Magnoliopsida; Solanales; Solanaceae. The record is from RNAcentral.